GAUAAACGCUGGCGGCGCACCUAAGACAUGCAAGUUGAACGGACUUAAUCGAAAUAUUUCUAUUUUGAAGCGGUUAGUGGCGGACUGGUGAGUAACGCGUAAGGAACCUGCCUAUUAGAGGGGAAUAACAGUGAGAAAUCAUUGCUAAUACCGCAUAUGCCAUAGAUAUCACAUGAUAACAGUGGGAAAGGAGCAAUCCGCUAAUAGAUGGCCUUGCGUCUGAUUAGAUAGUUGGUGGGGUAACGGCCUACCAAGUCGACGAUCAGUAGCCGGACUGAGAGGUUGAACGGCCACAUUGGGACUGAGAUACGGCCCAGACUCCUACGGGAGGCAGCAGUCGGGAAUAUUGCGCAAUGGAGGAAACUCUGACGCAGUGACGCCGCGUAUAGGAAGAAGGUUUUCGGAUUGUAAACUAUUGUCGUUAGGGAAGAGAAAGGACAGUACCUAAGGAGGAAGCUCCGGCUAACUACGUG
RNAcentral lists this ribosomal RNA (473 nucleotides) under uncultured bacterium. Its description in RNAcentral is "partial 16S ribosomal RNA". It matches the Rfam family "Bacterial small subunit ribosomal RNA", at positions 28 to 507 of the family's 1533-position model. The record is from RNAcentral.